This 75-nucleotide transfer RNA is filed under the name Sphaerodactylus townsendi. Its description in RNAcentral is "tRNA-Ala". Lineage: Eukaryota; Metazoa; Chordata; Lepidosauria; Squamata; Sphaerodactylidae. The record is from RNAcentral.
GGAGGGGCCAUGGGUCAAUGGUAGAGCAUCUGCUUGGCAUGCAUGAGCUCCUAGCUUCAAUCCCUGGCAUCUUCA